Non-coding RNA from Myodes glareolus (Bank vole), 2080 nucleotides. The record is from RefSeq and is a predicted model, not a curated record. NCBI's taxonomy places the organism in Eukaryota, Metazoa, Chordata, Mammalia, Rodentia, Cricetidae.
CCCACUUGCUCCCAGGUGUGCUUCCGCUUUCUUAAAUAACUGUCUCUUUCCAUGACCUUCGGGGGUAUCUUCAUUUGUUUGUUUUUGUUUUAAAGCACCUUCUUCCAUCAGGCAAGCCUUUGCUAACCUCCAGUGCUGAACCUGCCCGCUUUCUUGGACCCUAACUUAGAAGGCCUGCCUUCCUCUCUUCCUUUUAUCCAUCUUUCUCCUCCUGGCAACUGGCAGAACUUCCAGUUUGCUUGCCCUGUUGUUUUUCUCUCAAAUUCUAACGAGAUAUUCCUCAAGCUCCCUUUUGAGUCAGCGCUUAUAUUCUUUUAUUAAUGAGACUAAGAACCCAUGAAAGGGAACCCUGAAUUCCCUAGUAACAGAGUUACUGAAUUCCUGAUUGUUUUCUGUGGGAAACUCUCAGAGUUGGCCACCGACACAUUUUGAACUGUGUGCCAAAAUUUGUGCACUUCAUGACAAGUGACUCAAAACAGUCCCAGACUACUUCCAGAAACCUCCUGGAACAAUGCUUUCACUCUUCCCUCUCCAGCGUCUUGGCCAAUGCCUGGCACUCAAUAAGCUACCACAAACAGUAGUUGGAUACCCAAAUAAAUGCUUUACAGGGAAUUCUUUUAAUGGUUAAAAUGACCAAUGUUGCAUGUCUGCAUGUUCAAAUUCCUCCUUCUGGAUAAUGCUCAACAAAGUUCUGGGAUUCUAGCUAUUCCUCAAUUCCUGAGCAUAUUCAAUUUCUGAGAAAUUCAAUUCAAUUCAAUUCAAUUUCUGAGAAAAAUACCCUUAUCCACAGUCAUCUAAAUCAUGAAGAAGACAUUGUUUGUUUGUUUGUUUGUUGGCUUUUGCCUUCCCAACAUCUAUUUCCCAAGCUUUGGUUUUUCUUCCUGGAAAUCAUUCUCGGUCCAAGGCAACUAUCACAACACACUUCUUCCUUCCUUUCUUUCUUUCUUUCUUUCUUUCUUUCUUUCUUUUUGACAGAAUUUUCUCUGUGAACAGGCCUGGCUGUCUUGGAACUCACUGUAUAGACCAGACUGGCCUCAAACUCAGAGAUCGACCUGGCUCUGCCUCCUGAAUCCUGGAAUUAAAGGCAUACAGCCAGAAACAAGACAUUUUCUUGACGAGUACAACAUGGCAUAAAAGAAGGAAGGGAAAUGACCAUAUGCAGAAGAGAUGAUGAAACAGGGAACCAGAGAAACCCAAGAGCCAAGAAUUAACAGCAAGAUCUCCCAGUCUAAACCAUCACGGAGAGGGGCUCCUUACAGCUCAUGAAGUUCCACCUUGAAACAUCCCAUCCUAAAAGGAGGAUCCUGGAGACUUGAGAAACAAUUCACAAGUCCCAGAAGUUCCUGAAACCCGAAUCACCAAGGCUCUCCCUCGCAAGGCGAUUAGCCAUUACCUGCUUGACUCAUAACUCUAAUAUUAGAAGCAUAAUCCAUGCUGUGAGCGGCCAAGGAAGUUUUCUGACUGGACACACCUACAGGUAGGACAGUGUGCCCAGUUAGCAGCAUUGCGGUGACAGCGUCGUGCAAAGUCAAAGAGAGUUUUGCCUCUAGGUUAAUGUUUACUUCUGGUAAAAUCUAAGUUCUCACAAUCAACUCACCAGCCACGGCUGAAUCAAUCCAUUCUUCAUUCUAUACUACUCUAUCUCCCAUGGGGGAUAUGCUAGGUUUUUUUUCCUAUCAUCCUGUAAGCAACAUAACUUAAAAACUUACUCUCAAUAGUUGACACUGUUUAUCCCUUUUUCUCAUGUUCCCUUCCUUUCAAUUUCCUAGAGUCUUUGCACAGCUGUUAGAAAUGAGGGCAUUGUGGGUUUCUAUGAUUCUGCUUCGUUCCCUGUUCCAAGACUGUUCCUGCUAACUCCUGAUAUCACCUAUUUAUUAACUUUUCUCCUAGACUCUUGUGGUUAAAAUCAUUUUCUCCAGAACGGUUAUGCAAAUUUGAAAUGUCAUGGCCUACUGCAACUCUUUCAGCCUAGUCACAGGGUGCAUUGGAAAGGUAACACCCUGUCCUUGAGAAGCCUGAAUUCAUGGUCACACCUGAAACACCAAAGGCUUUAGAGGUUGGAAUAGAUCCAGUGUAUAUU